This is a long non-coding RNA of Uranotaenia lowii, 543 nucleotides long. RefSeq lists it as uncharacterized. The transcript is spliced from 2 exons. Lineage: Eukaryota; Metazoa; Arthropoda; Insecta; Diptera; Culicidae. The record is from RefSeq and is a predicted model, not a curated record.
AAGUAAACAAAUUGAGUUACUGUUUGCACGGUAUAGUAAAUUUUAUUUUCUUCUGUAUGAAUUAACUGUUUGUACAAAAAAAAAUAAUAUGCCGUUAGCUAAAAAAAUAUACAAACGACCUAUGUCAUCUUUUCUCAGUGUUUUCGAAAUUCUUCUUUACACCUCUUUUUGGUAAAACGACGCAUCUGUCAAAACAAAUAAUAUCGCACACACAGCAGAUAGGAUCGCAGCAAACCGUCGUAUGGAAGAAAAUAAAUAGUAAAAAAGUGCCUGGCAGAUACGUCGUGUUUACUUACAUUGAAUAUUGCGCGUACAAAUAGUUUAAUUACACCUAAAACGUGAUAAAAUGGAUUUCGAUGGAUUCCAGCUGCUGCUCGACGCAGCAACAGAGCUUGAAUUAUCACAUCAACAAGAGGCACAGCAAAUUCCAACGAUUGUGACGCAAACGAAUGCAGACCCUGCUCUUGACGCGGCUCCCAAUCAGCACGGCUCACCGCUUCAAGUUUUCUCGCAAAAUGUAUCGGGAAAUGUUGCAGAAAUUGU